AUACGUAGGUGGCGAGCGUUAUCCGGAAUUACUGGGCGUAAAGGGCGCGUAGGCGGCCAUUUAAGUUUGACGUGAAAGCUCCUGGCUUAACUGGGAGAGGUCGUUGGAAACUGAAUGGCUUGAGGCAAUGAGAGGAAUGCGGAAUUCCCGGUGUAGUGGUGGAAUGCGUAGAUAUCGGGAGGAACACCAGUGGCGAAAGCGGCAUUCUGGCAUUGGCCUGACGCUGAAGUGCGAAAGCGUGGGGAGCAAACGGGAUUAGAAACCCGGGUAGUCC
This 274-nucleotide ribosomal RNA is filed under the name uncultured bacterium. RNAcentral's name for it is "partial 16S ribosomal RNA". It matches the Rfam family "Bacterial small subunit ribosomal RNA", at positions 523 to 796 of the family's 1533-position model. The record is from RNAcentral.